CUAAGGUUCGAUUCGAGCGAAAGCGAGAAAGCUUUGCCGCAGGCAACGACCCGAAGGGCGAAACGCGCAGCGCUGAGUCAUCCUUCCCCCACCACCA
This 97-nucleotide small RNA is filed under the name Salmonella enterica subsp. enterica serovar Muenchen. RNAcentral describes it as "partial RtT sRNA". It matches the Rfam family "RtT RNA", at positions 36 to 130 of the family's 130-position model. Rfam says of the family: This family represents a bacterial cis-regulatory element known as RtT RNA. The exact function of RtT is unknown although it is thought that it may be involved in changing the cellular response in relation to amino acid starvation. The record is from RNAcentral. RNAcentral also lists the same sequence under 3 other names. Lineage: Bacteria; Pseudomonadati; Pseudomonadota; Gammaproteobacteria; Enterobacterales; Enterobacteriaceae.